Molecule: ribosomal RNA, 405 nt
Filed under: uncultured bacterium
Lineage: Bacteria
Description: bacterial SSU rRNA
Rfam family: Bacterial small subunit ribosomal RNA
Source: RNAcentral
AACGAACGCCAGCGGCGUGGAUUAGGCAUGCAAGUCGAACGUGAUCCGUAGCAAUACGGUGAAAGUGGCGGAAGGGUGAGUAAUGCACAGAUAACCUACCUCAGAGACUGGGAUAACUCCGGGAAACUGGAGCUAAUACCGGAUGGGAUCGCGGGGUCACAUGGUUCUGCGAUUAAAGGUGCCCUCUGAAUAUGGUAGCACUCUGAGAGGGGUCUAUGCCUAUCAGCUAGUUGGUGAGGGUAACGGCCCACCAAGGCUUUGACGGGUAGCCGGCCUUAGCGGGUGUCCGGCCACAUUGGGACUGAGACACUGCCCCAAACUCCUACGGGAGGCUGCAGUCGAGGAUCUUCCGCAAUGGGCGCAAGCCUGACGAGCGACGCCGCGUGUGGGAUGAAGGCCUCGGUU